GGAACCAACCGAGACCAAAAGUAAAGAGAGUAGUUAGCUGAUUAGAUUAGUUUGUUAUUAGUUACUCUUGUAAGUAAUUAGUUAGAGCUGUUGUAACAGCCUGUACAGGUGGCUUUAUCUAUUGUAUAGAGUAGACAGGUGUUAAAUACUCUUCUGUAAUCUUUUCUCAAUUAAUUAAUGAGAAUCAUAAAUUCCUUUAUGGUAUCAUACGCCUAUUCGAUCCUCUCUCCCUUUUCUUCCAACCUGUGAUUUUCUCACCUACCAAACAGUACUUUUCUCAUCAACCAAACAGUUUCUUCCGCUCUAAUUCUCUGAUUUCCAUGGCUUCUGAGACCAAUUCUUCUUCUUCUGCGCCUUCUGCCUCUCUCACAUCGUCUUCAAUCCCUGCUUUUGUGACUGUUACUGUUCAAAACAUCGCAGGCAUGGUUCCGAUCAAGCUUCAAGCUGGCAAUUAUUUGUUGUGGAAGAAUCUUUUUCUUCCUGUUCUUCGCAAAUACAAGCUCCUUGGCCUUCUCACCGGUGCUGAUCUGCGGCCGUCGAAGACAAUUGUUAACGAUGCUGGUUGCAUUGUUGAUAAUCCCGCCUUCGAUCUGUGGUAUGAUAAGGAUCAAUCACUCAUGAUCUGGAUCAUCUCUACUCUCUCGACGGAUUUGCUAUCUCAAACGGUUGGCAUUGAGUAUUCUCGUGAUCUCUGGGAGAUGUUGGAAAAAUGCUUUGCUGGAGUCUCUCGUGCAAAUGUUCAUCAUCUUCGUCAGCGUCUUCAAAAUCUUGUCAAAGGGGAUCUGUCUAUGGUUUCCUAUCUGCAACAGAUGAAGGAAAUUGCUGAUGGCUUGGGCGAUGCUGGUCAUCCUCUAACUGAUGAUGAUUUGGUGGCUUACAUUCUUGCCGGUCUCUCUGAAGAGUACGAUUCCUUCGUCACUUCUAUUGAAACUCGUCGGGAAGAAGUUUCCUCUGAUGAACUUCACGGUUACCUUCUCGGUCGUGAAGCUGCUCUGCUGAAGCGCAAACUCCGAUCCAUUUCCUCUGGACCUACGGAACCGUUUCAUGCUUAUGCCGCCACUCCUCGUUCUUCACAGCACUUUUCUCGCUCACGUGGUUCCAACAACUCUAACUCUCAGCAUCGAGGUUUUCCUCCCACUCGUGGUCUGCUUCCGUCACCGCCCUCCAAUUUUGCCCCAAAUUUUUCUUCUCCUCCACAAUUUGGUGCGCAAGGGUUUCACAGCCCCAAUUUUUCUCGAAAUUCAAGCCCUGGGGGUGGUAAUUCCAAUUCAGGAGGUUCUUCUUCAUUCAAUUCUACUGGUUUUUCUUCUGGCCCUGUUCUUGUGUGUCAGUUCUGCAACAAGAAAGGUCAUGCCGCUAACACUUGUCGCAAAUUGGGCCGUCUGCUUAAUGCUUCUGGCAGUUCUUCAUCUUCUGGACCAUUUACUGGCUAUUAUGCUAAUCCACAGUCUGUUGCUUCCUCUCCUUCUUGGAUUGUUGACUCUGGCGCUACUGCUCAUGUGACUGCUACCAAUCAGCACCUGCAGAAUUCUUCUCCAUUCACUGGCUCUGACUCUUUGCAAGUUGGUAAUGGUAAUUGCUUACCAAUUUCUCACACUGGUUUUACCCGCAUACACACUCCUUCUGCUGUUUUUACUUUAAAGGAUGUGUUACAUGUUCCUUCUAUUAAACACAAUUUGUUAUCGGCAAAUAAGUUUCUUCGUGACAACUCUUGUUCACUAACGCUCUAUCCUGAUUCCUUCACAAUUAAGGACUUAGCUACGAAGAAGAUGCUCUUCCAAGGUCUCAGUGAGGAUGGUGUCUAUCGACUUCCUGCUGGUCCUGCAGCUCCUUUUUCAUCAAGUCCUUCAAUUGCUUUUCUGGCUAAUAAAUGUGAUAUCCUCACUUGGCACAAGAGGUUGGGUCAUCCUCACUUUUCUUUAUUUCGCAAGAUUGUUAGUGGCAAUCAUCUACCUGUUAGUGGUGACUUGUCUGAGUCCUUAAUAUGUUCUGAUUGUAUGGUUGGGAAAGCUCAUAAGCUUCCUUUUGUUGGUUCUGAACAUAAGUCCACCAAGCCUUUAGAGCUUGUGCAUUCGGAUGUCUGGGGUCCCAGUCCCACUGUUUCAGCUCUUGGUUAUAAGUACUAUGUUUUGUUUCUGGAUGAUUACACUAAAUACGGCUGGUUGUAUCCUUUGAAAUAUAAAUCAGAUGUGCUUGCAACUUUUAAAGUGUUUAAGGCCAAGUUAGAAAACUUGUUGAACUCUAGGAUCAAGAUCUUGAGGAGUGAUUCGGGUGGUGAAUACUUAAGCACUGCUUUCCAAGAUUUUUUAAACACAGAGGGUAUUGUGCAUCAGUUGAGUUGUCCACACACCCCUGAACAGAAUGGCAGUGCCGAACGCAAGCACAGGCAUAUUGUUGAGCUUGCUAGGACACUGUUUGCUUCUUCUUUCCUUCCACAUCGCUUUUGGGUAGAUGCUUUUCAAACUGCCUUGUAUCUCAUCAAUCGGUUACCCUUUACUUCUUCUGCACAGUCUCCUUGGGAAUUGUUGUUUAAACACACUCCAAAUUAUACUACUUUGAAAGUGUUUGGUUGUCUCUGUUUUCCUUGGUUACAACCAUAUAGUUCCUCAAAGUUGGAUCCUAAAAGCAGGCCUUGUGUCUUUCUUGGUUAUAGCUUAAAUCAUUCCGGUUAUAGAUGUCUGGAUAUUUCUACUGGCAAGCUUUUUAUUUCCAGGCAUGUUCUUUUUAAUGAAACAUCUUUUCCUUUUGCAACCCAAGCUCCCCCUAUUUCAUCUUCUCCUAUCUCUGCUUCUUCAGUUCCUAUUUCUCUUACUUUUUCUUUCCCGAUUUCUCCUACUUCUCCUUCCUCUUCGCAAUCCCCUGGUUCCAUUUCUCCUUCUUCUGAAUCUGUUCUUUCUUUACCUUCUCAAGAACACCUCCUUCCUUCUCUCCCUUCUCAGGUAUCUGUAGUUCCUUCUUCUCCUAAUCGUCAUCCUAUGGUUACUCGAUCAAAAAAUGGAAUUUUUAAGCCCAAGGCUCUCUCUGCAACUAAGCACCCUAUUCCUACUUCUGUUCAGUCUACUGCUUUAAUUCCUCCUACUCCUCAGACUUAUAAGCAAGCAGCAACCCACAAAGUUUGGAUUGCUGCCAUGGCCUCUGAAAUUGCUGCUCUUCAAAAGACUCAGACAUGGACCCUGGUACCUCCCAAUCCCUCUUAUAAUUUAGUGGGUUGUAAGUGGGUUUUUCGGACCAAGUUUAAUUCUGAUGGGUCUGUUGAUAAGUUCAAAGCUCGUUUAGUUGCUAAAGGGUACAAUCAACAGGAAGGUAUUGAUUUUCAUGAAACUUUUAGCCCCGUGGCAAAACCUGUUACUAUUCGUCUUUUGUUAUCCUUAGCUGUGCAAUAUGAUUGGUUCCUCAAUCAACUUGAUGUCAGUAAUGCUUUUCUGCAUGGGUUCUUGAAGGAAACUGUGUAUAUGAGCCAACCUCCAGGUUUUCAUGAUCCCUCCAAGCCUGAUUUUGUUUGCAAGUUGAAUAGGAGUUUGUAUGGUCUUAAGCAGGCGCCCCGGGCUUGGUAUGAGGAGCUCUUUAAAGCACUUAUUUCUCUGGGUUUUAGAUCAUCACAAGCUGAUUCCUCAUUGUUUAUUAAGGGUGGCUCUUCUUUAAUCCUAGUUUUGGUUUAUGUUGAUGACAUUAUUGUGACUGGGAACAAUAAUGCAGCCUGUCAGGCUCUUAUUCAGCAACUCAGUGAAAAAUUUCCUGUCAAAGACUUGGGCCCUUUGCAUUUUUUCCUUGGGUUAGAGGUUAAACGCACUGCUUCUGGUUUAUUCUUGUCUCACACUAAAUAUGCUUGUGAUCUUCUCCAGCGAACUGAUUUUCUUGGUGCCAAACCAUGUGCCACUCCCUUGGGGUCCUACAAAUUAGACAAUUCUGGAAUGUUGCUUUCUGAUCCUACUUUCUAUCGUUCUACCGUUGGUGCUCUUCAAUACUUGACAUGGACACGGCCUGAUUUGUCCUUUGCUGUAAAUUUGGUAUGUCAGCAUCUUCACCAACCUCGCACUAAUCAUUUGGGUGCUGUAAAGAGAAUCCUUAGAUAUCUUAAAGGUUCUCUUGAUAUGGGAAUCUGUUUUCGCAAAGGCCCCCUUGUUAUGCAGGCCUAUUCUGAUGCAGAUUGGGCAGGAUGCCCCUUGGAUCGUCGGUCUACUAGUGGUUGGUGUGGUUUUGCUCGGUUCAAAUUUAAUUUCUUGGUCUGCCAAGAAGCAACCUACAGUUUCUCGCAGUUCUACUGAAUCUGAGUACAGAGGUAUUGCCAUGAUUGCUGCUGAACUUGUUUACAUUGCUAAGCUGUUUAAGGAUAUUGGUUUUCAGCUUCCUUCCGCUCCGUUACUUUGGUGUGAUAAUCAAUCUGCCCUUCAUUUGGCUUCUAAUCCUGUCUUUAGUGCUCGCACAAAACAUGUUGAGGUUGAUUAUCAUUUCAUCCGGGAGUUGGUUCAGCUUGGUAUUCUUCAUUUACGGUUUGUUGACACUACUAAUCAGCUCGCAGAUAUCUUUACAAAGUCUCUUCCUUCUGCCCGACAUGCUUAUCUUCGUUCCAAGCUUACAGUGUGCAAUCCCCACUUCAGCUUGCGGGGGGCUAAAGAGAGUAGUUAGCUGAUUAGAUUAGUUUGUUAUUAGUUACUCUUGUAAGUAAUUAGUUAGAGCUGUUGUAACAGCCUGUACAGGUGGCUUUAUCUAUUGUAUAGAGUAGACAGGUGUUAAAUACUCUUCUGUAAUCUUUUCUCAAUUAAUUAAUGAGAAUCAUAAAUUCCUUUAAAAAGCACCAGUUGUCGACCAUCGCUGGCUUGGUGGCGGUUCCAUUUUAGGCCAUACCGGGG
RNAcentral lists this long non-coding RNA (4850 nucleotides) under Prunus persica (peach). Its description in RNAcentral is "long non-coding RNA (PPER_LNC001596)". The record is from RNAcentral. Lineage: Eukaryota; Viridiplantae; Streptophyta; Magnoliopsida; Rosales; Rosaceae.